Molecule: long non-coding RNA, 6309 nt
Filed under: Salmo salar (Atlantic salmon)
Lineage: Eukaryota; Metazoa; Chordata; Actinopteri; Salmoniformes; Salmonidae
Description: lncRNA (ENSSSAG00000104626.1)
Source: RNAcentral
GAGAUUCUUCAAAGUAUGUGUUAUUUCAUAGUUUUGAUGUCUUCACUAUUAUUCUACAAUGUAGAAAAUAGUAAAAAAUAAAGAAAAACCCUGGAAUGAGUAAGUGUGUCCAAACUUUUGACUGGUUCUGUAUGUGUCAGAUGUUUUUAGUUUAAGGAUAAACCAAUACCAACCAGUUAAGGAGAUCUUCACUUCCCAAAACUAGUUUCACACAAGUCUGGGUCUAUUUUUGGAUUAUGAAUACAAGGAACCAUAUACUACUCUACUCUCAUUUGAAUAUUGCACUUGAAAAAUAAAUGACUUGAAAACAGCCUCUUGUCUUGUACAUCUAUGAUAUUGCAACUCUGUAGAUUACAGUGGACUCUAUAGAUUACAGUGGACUCUAUAGAUUACAGUGGACUCUAUAGAUUACAGUGGACUCUAUAGAUUACAGUGGACUCUAUAGAUUACAGUGGACUCCUGAAAAAGGCAAUGGCUUGGGACUGUUGUGCCAGAGUAUGUAGUUGUCAGGAGCAAGCUAUUGAAAAUCAUGUCAUUGAAAUGAGACUGGAAAACUGUAUUGUACUUAAAGAAUUCACAUUUAUUGAAAGAGCACUUAUCAAGAGUCGAAUGUACAUAAUAUAUUUCAAAGUGUAAAACUGAUUAGAUUAAAUGUUAAAUCAAAAACUAUUUCCAUCACCUCCCAAAAGAAAACAAAAAACACCUCUCACCUUUCUCAGCCAGGGUGCAGCAAAGGAGACAGAGGAAGAUUGCACAACACAGACAGAGUGCAGACAUCGUGCUAAAACAACAAGAGCUUCACAACUAACAAAUAGCAGGAAAUAGACAGUAUGUCUAUACCACAGUGAUGUCUGCUCUAGAACCACUCCACCAAUAGGAACACGAAGUAGGCCUACUUUACAGUUAGGUUCUGAACAAAUGAGGUAGGCAUAAUAAACCAAGACAUUACAAAAUAACAUAAAGAGAAUCAAGACCUGAACUUAUUUCAGUUGCAAUUGUGGGUGUCAGUAUGUGACAGAAUCAUAUGUUAGGGAAUCAUAGGUUAGGGAUAAAUGAGGUUUAACAACAAAACAUAAUUAUUUGAUUUGAACUUUUACUUCACUACAUUCCAAAACAAAAUAUGUACUUUUUACUCCAUACAUUUCCCCUGACACCUGUGGAGGAAAUGAAUAUUCAUGACAUACUAUACUGUUUAAUUAGACAUAGAAUGCUGUUUUCUACGUAAAGAUUGUCCAUUGUUAAAUGCUAGUAUUUUUUAUAACCUGAUACAAAGUUGCCUUUGUGUGACUUAGUCACAAGACUGGGUGAUUUCGUAAGAACCGUUUGGGUGUGACCGCAGCAUGUGACACAUCCCGUGGUUUUCUGCAGGAACUCAGCUGUAUGGGAAGUUGCAGGAAGGAGCACAUUAUAGUGUGAACUGUGACAAACGCAGUUACAUGGUUGAGCCCUUGUGCUAUCAACCUCCGGCUAUCUUAAUCUGCACUGACAAACCAAUCGCCUUUUAGACACUAUGCUCCGCCCAUUUCCACCCAUCUGCUAAACUGCCACAAAGACAGAGGUUGCAUUUUCUAUAAAAGCUGAGAGCCAACGCUAUUCGUUGGGCUUUCUGACUAUGCACUGUUGAGUGAUUGUCAUUUAUUGCUUCAUUUUUACAAAUCUUAUAAUAAAGUUAUUUGAUAGAAUCUGCAGUCUCUCUUCCUAUAGAAUGUCUACCACACACCCAAAAGUACUGGUUACAUUUCAAAUGCUUAGCAGGACAGGAAAGCUGCCCAAUUCAAACAAACAUCCCUGGUAAUCCUUACUGCCUCCGAUCUGGCGGACUCACCAAACACAAAUUAUUCAUUUGUAAAUUACGUCUGAGUGGUGGCUAUCCGUAAAUAAAUGUUUAAAAAAUAAAUAAAAAAUGGUGCAGUCUGGUUUGCUGUAUAUUUUAGCAAUUACAUUUACCUUCGAUAAUUAAGUAUAUUUAAAACCAAAUACUUUUAGACAAGUAGUAUUUUACUGGGUGGCUUUCACCUUUACUUGAGUCAUUUUCUAUUAAGGUAUCUUUACUUUUACUCAAGUAUGACACUGGGUAUUUGUUCCACCACUGUUGGAUUCUGGGGUAAACUUUGAACAUUGUUAUACUCAGAAGUAUAGGAACAUUAGUUACAUAAGAGACAUGAAGCGUGCCAUAAUGAAGUUUGGGAGGGGCUGAGUGCAGGGAAAACAAUCGCAUGUGACAGUACUGAUAUCACUUAGUUCCCUGCUUAGCAAGAAUGACGCAAUGUUUAGCGAUAAGGUGGAGACUCCACCCAAAGUUGGGUAUGAAUACUACCACGGGGGAGGCCAUGUCUGUGUCUGAAUUACAGCUGUAUUGACCCUUUGGGAAGAAUUAAACUUGGUUAAGCUUCUCUAGUGUCUGAGUUAUUUACUCAAAAUUAGAACCUAACAUUACAUAACAUAUCCUCUAGUCCCAGACAUGAUAGAGGUGAAUGGUUCACUACAUAACAUAUCCUCUAAUCCCAGACAUGAGAGGUGAAUGGUUCACUACAUAACAUAUCCUCUAGUCCCAGACAUGAGAGGUGAAUGGUUCACUACAUAACAUAUCCUCUAGUCCCAGACAUGAGAGGUAAAUGAUUCACUACAUAACUUAUUCUCUAGUCCCAGAAAUGAGAGGUGAAUGGUUCACUACAUAACAUAUCCUCUAGUCCCAGACAUGAGAGGUGAAUGGUUCACUACAUAACAUAUUCUCUAGUCCCAGACAUGAGAGGUGAAUGAUUCAAGUAUUCUAUAUCAGCUAUGUUUUUUUUAAAAGGCAGUAAAUGAGGAUGGCAGUAAACUUAACCUGGGUAUGUGGUAAGCUGAUCCUCCAGACAGUGGAAGUUAAGCUUUCUACACAUUUCUGUACUGAAUGAAAUAUUAUCACUACCUUUAUAAAACAAUGUCUAUCUUUAUUUUCCAAACACAAUUCAACACAAUCACUUUGUCUUUUAAUGAUUUUAAGCAUAUUUUAUCACAGGCUUAACACCUUACAAAGGCUUUGUACUUUUUAAAACAUUUUUAACAUAGGCCACCCCUGUUGUCAAAUCAAAAUUGUAUUUGUCACAUGCGCUGAAUACAACAGGUGUAGACCUUACAAUGAAAUGCUUACUUACAAGCCCUUAACCAACAUUGCUUUAAGAAGUUAAGAAGAAAAACGUGUUAACAUAGAUAAAAGUAACAAACAGCAGCAGUAAAAUAACAAUAGCGAGGCUAUAUACAGGGGGAACCGGUACAGUAAAUGUGCGGCAAUUUUGUGAAACUCAUGAGAGACAAUACGGCCACAUUACCAUAACGCUGUUUAUAUAAUAGCCUCAGGGCACCGCUUGCAAGCCUCCCUUUUUCCUCCUAACAUAACGAUGGUCAUUAAUGCCAAAGAGUUCUAUUUCUGUUUCAUCAGACUAGAGGACAUUUCUCCAAAAAGUACGAUAUUUGUCCACAUGUGCAGUUGCAAAUCGUAGUUUUAAUAGCAGUUUUGGAGCAGUGGCUUCUUCCUUGCUGAGCGGCCUUUCAGGUGUCAUGACAUUGCCCUCUUUGGACACAGCGAGCACCAUCUCCCUCUGUCUCCUACACCCAGGCUGCUGUGUUCAGAGAGGUCGUAAAUUCCUGGAGGAGACUAUCUCCUCAUGGCCACAGUAUAGAGAGUGAGUUUUUAUAGAGAGAACAAAGGAAUUUCUUCCACCUCACAGAACUGGAGGUCCGAACAAUAUUUAUGUUCUGGAGAAUGUAUAAAAGAUUGGUGAAGAAUCCAGCUACGAACUGGUCCGUUUGGUACAAUUUUGUGAAACUCAUGAGAGACAAUACGGCCACAUUACCAUAACGCUGUUUAUAUAAUAGCCUCAGUUAUGAGGCUUACAUCUAAUUGUUGUAUAAAAUGAAUGAGUGAGGAUGGAACUGUUUGUGAAAUUGUGUAAUGUGAUUUUGGACUGUUUAAUGAAGGAAACUCCAAUUCCCUUUUGGAGUUUAACUAAUCAGAGGACCACCCAUGAGCACAGUUAUGGUCUGGUGUCAUGGGACUGGCCCUUUUCUGCUCUUCUAAAUAAAAUCCCCACCUAGGUUUUCUAUCACCAGACCAGCUUACCUCGAUAACGAGAGGGCUAAGGUUUGAGACGAGACCAGCUUACCUUGAUAAUGAGGGGCAAGGUUUGAGAGGAGGCCAAGCUUACCUCAAUUACGAGAUGGCUAAAGGUUGCAGACCAUGCAUUUCUCUUGCUGAACUUUUAACCAUACCAUGUGGUUAAACUCUUAGACUAUCGAUACCGACAGAAUAAGAACAAGUCUUUGAUAUUAAUUACUAGUCUGCAGCUAGGAAUUCGGUAUCAUUGAACGCGAAGACCGACAACCGCCAAAACAGCUAAUCUAUAACGUCAUGAAUGAAUGUUACUCUGAACUAUCCAUUCUAACCACAACAGAGAGAGAGACAGAGAGGACAGAGACAGAGAGGACAGACUCUCCAACAGAAACAAACUUUUCAACAGAGAUCCCGAUGACACACUGAACUCUAACAUCAGGUUUUAGUCACAAUAUAUGAAAGAAUAGUCUGGUGUGGUUAACAACUACAGACAAUGCUGUUAACACUUAGCUUGGUAGCAGGAUAAUGCAUGCACUCCAUUUCUCCUGCAGAGGGGGAACACAAUAGUGUUGAACCAGAUUGUUCUCUCUUCCAGGCAAAGCAUUAACAUUCAGUUAGCUGUGUGGCGUGAGAGACAGAGCAGACAUGACACCGACAGGGAAGAGAGCCCAUAACACUCCGGAUAAUACAUCUGUCGCUACGGAAACAGUCCUGUCCUGGUGCUGGAGUCGUGCUCUGCUGGGACUGCUGUAUCCUCAGGCUCUGGUUCCAUAGGGGACAAUAGGAAUACCAACACUGUUAUACACCAUUUUACCACACACAUUUUAUACACUGCAUUUUACUAUGAAUUUGAUCGUUUUGACAGGAAUCCCUCUUCGAUUAGGUAGACAAAAAUAAUAUACUCAAACAUUCUGCCACAAAAGAGUCUUCCUGUGCCACUGGUUCAUCUGGAAAGAGAAACCAGAAGCAACCUUUUACAGGGGUUGAUACUGUGUGCUCUACCAUGUUUUGUGAUUUGUUACAGAGACAAUUGAAUAACAAAUCCUGAAUUCCCAUCUGGGGAGGAGAAGGAGAGCAAUAGAGAAACUAAAACAAUAAAAACUAAACUAAGUGAUCUUGUCGAGGAGUUAGUUCUCCAUUCCACUUAUAUAGCAACAUCCUGGCAUUUAGCCAGAACAGAAAGUACUCUCCUAAUCUUCCCAGACCUCUGCAUUCCUCUCGGCAGAGAUUGUCAAAUGCAAGGUCGUGUUCACUAGGCACGAAAUGGAAAGAAGCAGUCUGAAAUGGGGAGGAACUAUCUGAAUAACUUCUUGAAGCAUUUUGCAACAGUGUGUCCUAAUGGACAUGACCCUGGGUGCUCAUGUUGUCUGAGUCUUCUGGCUUGAAACAGCUUGAGAAGCAGCAGUCCAAUGGCAAGAGAGCCUACUACCACAAAUACAGCAGUCACAUUCUUGUAACUGUUCUUUGGAAUUUCCUUUUGAUUUGCAGCAUUCUCAGGAACCUGGUGCUGGUCUCAUACUGUAACACACAAAAUCAGAAUCAUUAAAAAUGAAAAUCAUGUCACAUUCAGGUAUGCGAUCAGGGAUGCAAUGAAUUAAGUCAUGUUUGUAGGGUGAGUCAAUUUAUAUUGGAUACUAAUAGAUGAUAAUGUCAGAAAAGCAAGAUUUCUUGAUGGAUCAUCUGCACAGUGGAAAUCAUGAUGCAAAAAGGAGAAUACUAAACAGUCAGUGUUAGAGUGUGAGGAAGGCACUUUGAAUUCCAAACUAUGUGUUAAGCCCUUAGUUUUUCCUGACUGGGAAAUACUCAGGGCCCUACCUAUAAACAUUGGCCUCCAAAAGCUUUGAGCUCACCUGUGACCUUCAGCAUGAAGUUACAAUUUGUGUUUCCACUGUCAGUGUUCACCACACACUCAUACGGACCCUCUUCUUCAGGCUGGGUUUCUUUAACCAACAGGGACACAACUUUGUCUCUCAUUGGCAGGUGGCAUGGAAAGCUGAUAUUUUGGGCUCAGCAGCAUCCUGGGAUUGGAGGAUUGUAUAUAUAUAUGUGAACACAGGUUCACCUUUGUAAUGACCAUUCUGGUCCAGCCUCCACAACCUGCUUUAUGUUUACAUUACCAGGGGAUUCCUCACUGAACUUCACAGAGCAGUCUAGGACUGCAUCCUUCCCAGAUUCCACCUGGAUGACCUGCUUCAACUCUGAGCGCUGGUUUAGAC